Glossina fuscipes is the source of this 530-nucleotide long non-coding RNA. RefSeq lists it as uncharacterized. Lineage: Eukaryota; Metazoa; Arthropoda; Insecta; Diptera; Glossinidae. The transcript is spliced from 3 exons. The record is from RefSeq and is a predicted model, not a curated record.
UAUGUUUUUCUCAAAGUUGCUUGAAUUAACAUAUAUUCGAUUUUUUGAAAUAGUGUCGUAUCGAAAACUUGUUACAAUAUUUGCAAAUUUUGCUGCGUGCUUUAUAAUUACUGCGUCUGAAGCACUUGAACCUAAAACAAUUGAUGACAAAUAAUCCGGGCAGAGUUUUGAAUGCAACAGACAAACAGAAUCCCCGCUGAGCAUAUUUAAAUGCUACAAACAUUUGACAGACAUUAUCUACUCCUAUCUAAAUAAGUAAAUGUAAAUAGAUUUUUGUGAAUUCAGGUCUUCCAUGACGGUCCAGCGUGAUUAUGUUUUCAACCGCAGUUAAGAAUGAAACCGAUAUUUAUGCAACGUUAGUUUUAAAUCUGAAUAGAAAUUAUCGCGUAGGAUAUGUUUGGGUAUGACUUAAGGCCAUCAAAAGCUCGUCAAGAAGAGAGAGAAGGAAAUUUUGCAAUUAACCCAUGAAUAGUUUAUUAUUUAUUUCAUAUAACUAUUUCUAUAUUGUGUACUUGACGUGUGUGUUCAUU